This 851-nucleotide ribosomal RNA is filed under the name uncultured bacterium. RNAcentral describes it as "bacterial SSU rRNA". It matches the Rfam family "Bacterial small subunit ribosomal RNA", at positions 52 to 914 of the family's 1533-position model. The record is from RNAcentral.
AACAGCAAGUCGAACGAUUAAGACUCCCUUCGGGGAGUGUAUAAAGUGGCGUACGGGUGAGUAACACGUAAGUAAUCUACCUUCGAGUGGGGAAUAACAACCGGAAACGGUUGCUAAUACCGCAUAACGCAGCGGCACCUAACGGUGACAGUUGUUAAAGGAGCAAUUCGCUUGAAGAGGAGCUUGCGGCAGAUUAGCUAGUUGGUAAGGUAAUGGCUUACCAAGGCUACGAUCUGUAUCCGGUCUAAGAGGACGGUCGGACACACUGACACUGAAUAACGGGUCAGACUCCUACGGGAGGCAGCAGUCGGGAAUUUUGGGCAAUGGGCGAAAGCCUGACCCAGCAACGCCGCGUGAAGGAUGAAGUUUUUCGGAAUGUAAACUUCGAAAGAAUGGGAAGAAUAAAUGGCGGUACCAUUUAUAAGGUCCGGCUAACUACGUGCCAGCAGCCGCGGUAAUACGUAGGGACCAAGCGUUGUUCGGAUUUACUGGGCGUAAAGGGCGCGUAGGCGGCAAUUCAAGUCAGCUGUGAAAUCUCCGGGCUUAACUCGGAACGGUCAGCUGAUACUGCUUUGCUAGAGUGCAGAAGGGGCAAUCGGAAUUCUCGGUGUAGCGGUGAAAUGCGUAGAUAUCGAGAGGAACACCUGAGGUGAAGACGGGUUGCUGGGCUGACACUGACGCUGAGGCGCGAAAGCCAGGGUAGCAAACGGGAUUAGAUACCCCGGUAGUCCUGGCCCUAAACGAUGAAUACUUGGUGUCUGGAGUUAUUAUUGCUCCGGGUGCCGUCGCUAACGUUUUAAGUAUUCCGCCUGGGGAGUACGCACGCAAGUGUGAAACUCAAAGGAAUUGAC